RNAcentral lists this unclassified non-coding RNA (219 nucleotides) under plant metagenome. RNAcentral's name for it is "partial contains small subunit ribosomal RNA, internal transcribed spacer 1, and 5.8S ribosomal RNA". The record is from RNAcentral.
UUUCCGUAGGUGAACCUGCGGAAGGAUCAUUAAGAAAAGCGAGUGCGGAAACGCGCUCUCAUUUCAAACCACUGUGAAAACGCACGUUACUUCGGCAGCUCUCUGGCCGCAAGGUCAGGGAUCAGCCUGUCGACAGCACCAAACCAACCCUUUAUGUAACAGCAGUCUGAAAACGAAACUAAAUCGUUAAAACUUUCAACAACGGAUCUCUUGGUUCUC